Molecule: non-coding RNA, 743 nt
Organism: Musa acuminata subsp. malaccensis (wild Malaysian banana)
Lineage: Eukaryota; Viridiplantae; Streptophyta; Magnoliopsida; Zingiberales; Musaceae
Source: RefSeq, a predicted model, not a curated record
GUCCCUCCCCGGCCUUGUCCCGGCUAGGGUUUCUGACCGUCGUUCCGUCUCCCGUCGCCAUUGAGAGUUCCUCCUGAUCUUUCGAUUCGAUCUGUUAAUGCAUGAUUUAUUGUUUUCCCUUCUGAUUCAUGUUUUUGAUUGGUGAAACUCCGUGAAUAGCCGCAGAGGAUCUCCGCCGAAGCGCAGGAGGUUCGGGAGGUCCACAAGCUAUCGAAUUUUACCCCAGAGGUAUUGGGUAUUGAAGGAAGAAUGUUUGGCAGAAAUCGUUAUGCGGAGAAGGUGCAGAUGAAGAAGAUGUAAGCAUCCUUUGCAUCGUCCUUGAAGUUUGAUUUCCUAAACUUGUCUCAGCAAUGUAGGCUUGUUGUUCAUGAUGAAUCAUCAUAUCUCCAUUAGGUGGUCGACAAGGUUCAUGAUGAAGCUACUCCUGCAUCUUUUAGAUUGGGAUACGACAACAUGGAAAAAGAUGAUCCUCAAACAACACUUAAGCAGAAAAAGGAGGAAAAGGCUGGCAAUUGGAAGGUCCCCUUACCAAUGUGCAAUCUGGAGAGUGAAUAACAGGCACAUUGGGACCAAAUGCAUUUAUGAAUUUAGAGGCAAAUGCUGGUGGUUGGCCUUGGACAUGCAAAGGAAAUUAUAAAGCUGGACAGCAAUGAAUUACAAUAUGUUUGCUAUUCAGUCAUGCUGUUCACUGGUUAAUUUGUACCAAUAAUACUUCUCCCAAUGAAGCCCUAAUCCUGCUGUUA